GAAUCCCUCAUUGAGUGCCUCAGCAUACUUCUUUUGAGCUCUGAUUUUGAAGAUGUCGACAAGCAGGAGGCAAUCUUCUAUCACCGUGUUGCUACUGCUAGUACUCCUCCAACUCAUCGGUGCUCUCGCUCGACCUGCAUGCAACUAUCUUCGUCGGGAAAAUUGUCGCCGUAAAUAAACCAUGAACUGAAGUACGGAAAACGUGGGCAUGCUUGAUUUGUUGGGUUAGGUACAUAAUCGUCAUAUAGAUUGUUCGAUUUCCCAAGAAAUGAAAUGAAGUUGGAAAAAGUGUACCACUAGGAAUGAAGGUUUGGCCAGCUCUCUGGGAGUAACUUCAAGAUCACCAAGAUUAUGUAAUCAUAUUGUUAGCUCAUCGAAAAGUUUAAUGUCGCCUUC
Molecule: non-coding RNA, 396 nt
Organism: Aegilops tauschii subsp. strangulata
Lineage: Eukaryota; Viridiplantae; Streptophyta; Magnoliopsida; Poales; Poaceae
Source: RefSeq, a predicted model, not a curated record